UACGGGGGGGGCAAGCGUUGUUCGGAAUUACUGGGCGUAAAGGGCUCGUAGGCGGCCAACUAAGUCAGACGUGAAAUCCCCAGGCUCAACCUGGGAACUGCGUCUGAUACUGGAUGGCUUGAAUCCGGGAGAGGGAUGCAGAAUUCCAGGUGUAGCGGUGAAAUGCGUAAAUAUCUGGAGGAAUACCGGUGGCGAAGGCGGCAUCCUGGACCGGCAUUGACGCUGAGGAGCGAAAGCCAGGGGAGCAAACAGG
This 253-nucleotide ribosomal RNA is filed under the name uncultured bacterium. Its description in RNAcentral is "partial 16S ribosomal RNA". It matches the Rfam family "Bacterial small subunit ribosomal RNA", at positions 524 to 776 of the family's 1533-position model. The record is from RNAcentral.